UACGUAGGGGGCUAGCGUUGUCCGGAAUCAUUGGGCGUAAAGCGCGUGUAGGCGGUCCGGUAAGUCCGCUGUGAAAGUCGGGGGCUCAACCCUCGGAUGCCGGUGGAUACUGUCGGGCUUGAGUACGGAAGAGGCGAGUGGAAUUCCUGGUGUAGCGGUGAAAUGCGCAGAUAUCAGGAAGAACACCCGUGGCGAAGGCGGCUCUCUGGGACGUGACUGACGCUGAGACGCGAAAGCGUGGGGAGCGAACAGG
Molecule: ribosomal RNA, 253 nt
Filed under: uncultured bacterium
Lineage: Bacteria
Description: partial 16S ribosomal RNA
Rfam family: Bacterial small subunit ribosomal RNA
Source: RNAcentral